GAUGAACGCUGGCGGCGUGCCUAAUACAUGCAAGUCGAGCGAACAGACGAGGAGCUUGCUCCUCUGACGUUAGCGGCGGACGGGUGAGUAACACGUGGAUAACCUACCUAUAAGACUGGGAUAACUUCGGGAAACCGGAGCUAAUACCGGAUAAUAUAUUGAACCGCAUGGUUCAAUAGUGAAAGACGGUUUUGCUGUCACUUAUAGAUGGAUCCGCGCCGCAUUAGCUAGUUGGUAAGGUAACGGCUUACCAAGGCGACGAUGCGUAGCCGACCUGAGAGGGUGAGCGGCCACACGGGAACAGAGACACGGUGCGGAGAGCGACGGGGGGCACCAGGGGGGAAGCGUCAGAAAGGGGCGAAAGGGUGACGGAGCAAAGACGGGGGAAAGAAGAAGGUAUGCGGAUCGCAAAACUAUGUGAUGAGGGAAAAACAAAAGUGCAAGGAACUAUGCACGUCAGGACGGGAGCUAAUCAGAAAGCCACGACUAGGUACAUG
This 497-nucleotide ribosomal RNA is filed under the name uncultured bacterium. RNAcentral describes it as "partial 16S ribosomal RNA". It matches the Rfam family "Bacterial small subunit ribosomal RNA", at positions 28 to 507 of the family's 1533-position model. The record is from RNAcentral.